CAUGAAAGUUGCCCGCAUCCUAUCAUUUCAUAGAUGUUUUUCUUGUCAUGCGGGCAACACGCCUGAAGUGCAUGCG
Aricia agestis (brown argus) is the source of this 76-nucleotide long non-coding RNA. RefSeq lists it as uncharacterized. The record is from RefSeq and is a predicted model, not a curated record. The transcript has 3 exons. NCBI's taxonomy places the organism in Eukaryota, Metazoa, Arthropoda, Insecta, Lepidoptera, Lycaenidae.